This 1379-nucleotide ribosomal RNA is filed under the name uncultured organism. Its description in RNAcentral is "bacterial SSU rRNA". It matches the Rfam family "Bacterial small subunit ribosomal RNA". The record is from RNAcentral.
AGUGGCGCACGGGUGAGUAACGCGUAGGUAACCUGCCAUGAGGUUCGGGAUAGCCGUACGAAAGUAUGAUUAAUACCGGAUGUGCUCUUUUGAGUAAAGAUUUAUCGCCUUAUGAUGGGCCUGCGUUAGAUUAGCUUGUUGGUAAGGUAACGGCUUACCAAGGCAACGAUCUAUAGCCGGGUUGAGAGACCGACCGGCCACAUUGGAACUGAGACACGGUCCAGACUCCUACGGGAGGCAGCAGCUAAGAAUCUUCCGCAAUGGACGAAGGUCUGACGGAGCGACGCCGCGUGAAUGAUGAAGGCCUUAUGGGUUGUAAAAUUCUUUUAUAGAGGACGAAUGUAUGGUGUAGGCCAUGUUGACGGUACUCUAUGAAUAAGGUCCGGCUAACUACGUGCCAGCAGCCGCGGUAAUACGUAGGGACCGAGCGUUGUUCGGAAUUAUUGGGCGUAAAGGGUACGUAGGCGGUCUAAUAAGUCAGAUGUGAAAACCUCGGGCUCAACCUGAGGCCUGCGUCUGAUACUGUUAGGCUAGAGUUAUGGAGAGGAAGGCGGAAUUCCUGGUGUAGGGGUGAAAUCUAUAGAUAUCAGGAAGAACAUCGGUAGCGAAGGCUGCCUUCUGGACAUAAACUGACGCUGAUGUACGAAAGUUAGGGUAGCAAACAGGAUUAGAGACCCUGGUAGUCCUAACUGUAAACGUUGUAUACUAGGUGGUGGCAUUUUGAUCGUGUCACUGCCGUAGCUAACGCAUUAAGUAUACCGCCUGGGGAGUAUGCCGGCAACGGUGAAACUCAAAGGAAUUGACGGGGGCCCGCACAAGCAGUGGAGCAUGUUGUUUAAUUCGAUGAUACGCGAGGAACCUUACCAGGUCUUGACAUAUACCUGAAUGUUGUAGAAAUACAUCAGCCUUCGGGCAGGUAUACAGGUGCUGCAUGGUUGUCGUCAGCUCGUGCCGUGAGGUGUUGGGUUAAGUCCCGCAACGAGCGCAACCCUUAUUCUUUGUUGCUAACAGGUUAAGCUGAGCACUCUAAGGAGACUGCCGGUGACAAACCGGAGGAAGGUGGGGAUGACGUCAAAUCAUCACGGCCCUUAUGACCUGGGCUACAAACGUGCUACAAUGGGCGGCACAAAGAGUUGCGAUACCGCGAGGGUGAGCUAAUCUCAAAAAACCGUCCUCAGUUCGGAUUGGAGUCUGAAACUCGACUCCAUGAAGCUGGAAUUGCUAGUAAUCGCAUAUCAGCCAUGAUGCGGUGAAUACGUUCCCGGGCCUUGUACACACCGCCCGUCACAUCACCCGAAUUGGUUAUACCCGACGUGGCCGAGCUAACCCCUUUUGGGGAGGCAGGUUCCUAAGGUAUGGUUGGUAAGGGGGAUGAAGUC